This 460-nucleotide ribosomal RNA is filed under the name uncultured bacterium. RNAcentral describes it as "partial 16S ribosomal RNA". It matches the Rfam family "Bacterial small subunit ribosomal RNA", at positions 338 to 795 of the family's 1533-position model. The record is from RNAcentral.
CCUACGGGAGGCAGCAGUGAGGAAUAUUGGUCAAUGGACGCAAGUCUGAACCAGCAAUGCCGCGUGCCGGAAGACGGCGCUAUGAGUUGUAAACUGCUUUUGUACGAGGAUAAACGCAGAUACGCGUCUCUGUCUGAAAGUACCGUACGAAAAAGGAUCGGCUAACUCCGUGCCAGCAGCCGCGGUAAUACGGAGGAUUCCAGCGUUAUCCGGAUUUAUUGGGUUUAAAGGGUGCGUAGGCGGUCGGAUAAGUUAGAGGUGAAAUCCCGCGGGUCAAAGUCGGAAUUGCCGCUGAUACUGGUCGGCUAGAGAGUAGUGGCGGUAGGCGGAAUGUAUGGUGGAGCGGUGAAAUGCUUAGAGAUCGCACAGAACACCGAUUGCGAAGGCAGCUUACCAAGCUACGUCUGACGUUGAGGCACGAAAGCGUGGGGAGCAAACAGGAUUAGAUACCCGAGUAGUC